RNAcentral lists this transfer RNA (72 nucleotides) under Dipodomys ordii (Ord's kangaroo rat). It matches the Rfam family "tRNA". From Rfam's summary of the family: Transfer RNA (tRNA) molecules are approximately 80 nucleotides in length. Their secondary structure includes four short double-helical elements and three loops (D, anti-codon, and T loops). Further hydrogen bonds mediate the characteristic L-shaped molecular structure. tRNAs have two regions of fundamental functional importance: the anti-codon, which is responsible for specific mRNA codon recognition, and the 3' end, to which the tRNAs corresponding amino acid is attached (by aminoacyl-tRNA synthetases). tRNAs cope with the degeneracy of the genetic code in two manners: having more than one tRNA (with a specific anti-codon) for a particular amino acid; and 'wobble' base-pairing, i.e. permitting non-standard base-pairing at the 3rd anti-codon position. Lineage: Eukaryota; Metazoa; Chordata; Mammalia; Rodentia; Heteromyidae. The record is from Rfam by way of RNAcentral.
AUGGGGCUGGCUCAGUGGUAGAGCGCUUGCCUUGCAUGCAUGAGGUCCUGGGUUUGAUUCCCCAGCACCACA